AGCCCACCAUUCCCAGUCUCUUCCUGGCUCCCCGCCUCCCCGCCUUAGGUGAAGCUCACUUUCCCGCUGCUGCACUGGUUCCUUUGCCGUGUCUCAGAGCCGAGGUGGGAGUGCUGCUGACCCCACCACAACGUCCAGACCCCUCCCAGGCCUCCCCUCACACCUGCUCCCCUGAUGUCACACCACCCUCUCCUGUCCCCCAGGCCCCCCCGCCCCCGCCCCCGAACAUUCAGCCUUGCAUAAAACAAGGGUCUCUCUCUUCUCUCCAAAUUAAAUACAAUUUCCUUCUUUCCUGAAUCAAGUCUGCCACCUGGGGUGUUAGGGCCACAUUGUGGUUUGGUAUUUAGUCCUUUUCCCUACCAAGAACUUUGAGAACUCGCCCCCUACUCGGCGUGGGGCAGGAACUGGUAGGGACAGAAUCACUCACCUCCCAUCCCAUUGGCUCUGUUGGGACUAAGCCCUCAAAUGGGCAAAGUCCUCCCAAGCCACCCGAGCAAGGGUACCAAGAGGUCCCCCCCAGUUUGCGGGAACAGCUUCAGCUGUGCCUUUAGCUCCAAACCUCCCCCCACAGGGACACACACGGGUCAUUUCCUGCUGAGCCACACGAGGCCUGGCCCUGGCUGGCUUCCCGGUCCCUCUUGUUUGUCCACAAGGUACGACCUUCCCUUGAUCAGCAACCCUAAGCUCCCCGGGCCCACAGGCUAGACUGAGCCCCUGGACCUGCCCGGAACCUCUGGGGGGCCUUUGAGGCCCUGGAAACAGAGAGCUCGGGACCCAGCCCACACUCUCCAAUCAUCCCUCAUGAAGCCUAGCACCAAGGCCAUGACAUUCUAUGUGGUACGUGGUUAGCACAGUCCUUGAACUGUGCUCUGUCCAAACUCCGUAACAGCGCUAAGAAAACCCAAAGUAAUUACACACUAAACUCUAGUCAUCUUGGUGGGUUAGGUGUAAAAUGGCAAAAUGACCUACUCAGACCAAAUGAAGAAAUCUUUUAAAAUAUAUAAUAGGAAGGUCCCUUAUGGGCAGCAGGUGAACGGCCAUAGCUCUGGCUGGGGUUCAAUCCUGGGCCCAUGGCUGCAGCCAAAAGGAAACAAUAAAAAACAAUAAAAUAGGUAACAAAUGCUCCCUCUCGCCCAGCGGGGCAGAAGAUGGGUUCCAAGUUUGGCUCACCCCAGAGGUCCAAGGACAGCUGGUGGCUUUGGCCAGUUUUCUGGAAGUGGGUUAGCUGCUCGGCACCUAGUCAGAAUGGCAUCUCUCAUCUUGCUGUUUUCUGGGAUACCACACAUUCCAGGGAGCCGCACUCACCUCUGUAGAGGUAUCUGGGGCCAGGCCAGCCAGGGUGUGGUCACCACCAGUGCGCUGGGAGAAGCAGCAGCCCAGCCGCCCAGCAAGGUAGUGGCCAGGCAGGAGGGGACAUCUCACAAGGUUUUAAUUUGCAUUUCCCGGAGGAUUAGCAAUGCUGAGCAUCUUUUCACGUGCCUGUGGGCCAUUUAUGUCUUCUUUGGAAAAACUGUCUAUUCAGGUCUUCAGCUCAUAUUUUAAUUAGUUUGUUUGGGGUUGAUUAUUUUGUUGUUUUGGGCCACAUUUCGGCAUAUGGAGGUUCCCAAGCCAGGGAUCAAAUCAGUGCCUCAGCAGUGACCUGAGCUGCUGCCAAGACAACAUGCUGUGGCCACAGUGGGAACUCCAGUUGUUUGGUCUUUAGAUGUCGGGAGCCAUAAGGCUGCUCCAGUAAAGAAAGCAAAGCCACAGUCGGCAACUGCAUGAGGCUUGUCUGGUUAGCAGAGCUACAGACAAGCUGAAGAAAGAAGAAGGAUUGCAGAGCAAUCCCUUGAAAGACAUCGGCUCCAGGAAAAUAAAAAUGAUAUCCCCUAAAAAAUACGUUAAUCUAUUUUUCUGUGUUUAUCUUUCCUUUUCUUUCUCUAUUCACAGCUUUCUUACUGCUAAAGAUUUGCCCUGGGUACGUAAAACACUUGAACCAAAACAGAAUGAAGUUGUUUAAACAAUGUAAUGGAAAAAGCCUUUGUUUUGGAGUAACAAUUUAUGGCACCUAUUUUGUGAGAGUAUACAGGGGAAACUUAUGAUUUCAGUCCCUUUAUUUAAAAAGAAGUUUGGGGCUGGGAAAAAUGUUGUUUGGCCUAUAAAUUGCUAUUUUCUAUAAUAGAUAUAUUUUUUAUCAAAUAACAGUGUCACCUGUAACUUUCAUCCUUUGUGGGGGCAUUUGAUAAUUUUGGGUAUAAUACUCCUUUCUAUUGAAAUUGGUGGUUUGGAACUUACGUAAAUCAGCACAAUAGGUUAAAUGCUUAGCUUGCUGGCGCCAAAUAAAUCGUGGUUUUAAGAAUGUCAUGAGCCCAAAGCUUUCAUGCGUUUUGUUAACUACAUACACCGUUAGUUAAAGAAUGUUAGGUAUCAUAGUUUAUUACUUAUUAAAGCUUUGUUCUUAAUAUAGAAUAGAAUAGCUACUGUUGUUGACCUUUUAAGAAAAAUACAGUGUGAAACUUUAAGUUUGUAAUCUUGAAGGAAAAAUCUAAAGUUGAAAGGAACAUGUUUUAACUAACCUUCUUUUUUUGUAUCUCGGGUGGAGGGAACAAAAGGGCUUUAAAUCAAAUGUUAAUGUCAAAUCUUACACGAAACCUGAUUGUGAAAGGGUAUAAAAACUGAGGCUUUUCAUUUAAUAAAUUGGGUCCUCUGCAGCAGGCAGCUGAGGAGUUGGCUCCAAUUCUUUCCGCGCCGUUUGUAGCCCAUCCUCUCCUUCGGCGCUCCCUGGCUGCUGGGGCUGGACCUCGGCAUUUAGAUGUUGAGUUGUGUGAGCUGUUCAUAUGUGUUGGAUAUUAACCCCUUACUGGUUAUGUCAUUUGCAAAUAUUUUCUCCCAUUCAGUACAUUGUCUUUUGAUUUUGCCAAUGGUUUCUUUGCUGUGCAAAAGCUUCUAAGUUUAAUUAGAUCCCAUUUGUUUAUUUUAGCUUUUAUUUCUUUCGCCUUCAGAAACAGAUCCAAUUUCGGAUUUAUGUCAAAGAGUACCCAGCACCAAGGGACAUGAUAGACCCCAGGGCAAACAGCAACCACCCUGGCUUCAAGGGACACUUUUUUUCCCUAAGUGGAGGUAAAACAGAAAAGGAGGGAGUUCCCAUCAUGGCUCAGUGGUUAACGAAUCCGACUAGGAACCAUGAGGUUUCGGGUUCGAUCCCUGACCUUCUCGGUGGGUUAAGGAUCCGGUGUAGCCGUGAGCUGUGCUGUAGGUCGCAGACGCAGCUUGGAUCCGACGUUGCUGUGGCUGUGGCGUAGGCCAGUGGCUACAGCUCCGAUUAGACUCCUAGCCUGGGAACCUCCAUAUGCCA
This 3334-nucleotide long non-coding RNA is filed under the name Sus scrofa (pig). RNAcentral describes it as "lncRNA (ENSSSCG00000062758.1)". The record is from RNAcentral. Lineage: Eukaryota; Metazoa; Chordata; Mammalia; Artiodactyla; Suidae.